This 222-nucleotide unclassified non-coding RNA is filed under the name Hevea brasiliensis (rubber tree). The record is from RNAcentral. Lineage: Eukaryota; Viridiplantae; Streptophyta; Magnoliopsida; Malpighiales; Euphorbiaceae.
CGGAUAUUUGGGAGUCCGGAUCGUAGAUUUACUCACCAGGUGUUUGCCCGAUGGUACAGAGCACCUGAGUUAUUGUUUGGCACUAAGCAAUAUGGUUCUGCAGUGGAUGUUUGGGCAGCAGCUUGUAUUUUUGCGGAACUACUACUUCGUCGUCCUUUUCUUCAGGGUUCAAGUGACAUUGAUCAAUUAGGGAAGAUUUUUGCAGCAUUUGGAACUCCUACG